RNAcentral lists this ribosomal RNA (389 nucleotides) under Klebsiella sp. 10-1. Its description in RNAcentral is "bacterial SSU rRNA". It matches the Rfam family "Bacterial small subunit ribosomal RNA", at positions 1 to 388 of the family's 1533-position model. The record is from RNAcentral. Lineage: Bacteria; Pseudomonadati; Pseudomonadota; Gammaproteobacteria; Enterobacterales; Enterobacteriaceae.
AAAUUGAAGAGUUUGAUCAUGGCUCAGAUUGAACGCUGGCGGCAGGCCUAACACAUGCAAGUCGAACGGUAGCACAGAGAGCUUGCUCUCGGGUGACGAGUGGCGGACGGGUGAGUAAUGUCUGGGAAACUGCCUGAUGGAGGGGGAUAACUACUGGAAACGGUAGCUAAUACCGCAUAACGUCGCGAGACCAAAGUGGGGGACCUUCGGGCCUCAUGCCAUCAGAUGUGCCCAGAUGGGAUUAGCUUGUAGGUGAGGUAACGGCUCACCUAGGCGACGAUCCCUAGCUGGUCUGAGAGGAUGACCAGCCACACUGGAACUGAGACACGGUCCAGACUCCUACGGGAGGCAGCAGUGGGGAAUAUUGCACAAUGGGCGCAAGCCUGAUG